UUUGACAACCAGCUGAUUUGUCAGAUAAAAAAAAAAACAAUAUUCAAUUCACAUAUUUUAGAAUUAAUAAACACUCAAGGAAUUAAUAAUUUAUUUAACAAUCCCAACUUAAUUUUUGCAUUCGAUUAUAUAAUUGCACUUGUUUAUAGGAAAAAUGUAAACUUGGCGCAGUUCAAGACAUUCGUCGAGAUGGACUCCAACCUAUAGUGUACCAGGCAGUCAGAGAGACUCAAAAGAACGUGUAACUCAUCAAAAGAUGAGAUUAUAGUUUGGAAGUGUUUGGAUCACCGGCAUCGGAUGGCAUAAGUAGUUACCUAUUACAACGGCAAGUAGUAUUGAUUGCAUUAAAAUCAAGUCAUGCACAGAAACCAAUGGCUCUCAAAGCGCCCAUAUUAGGUUGAUCAAUUGAAGAGUGAAUGUGAGAAGAUUGCCACUUUGGCUUAAAGUAUCGGCAAAGGUGCCGCAACCCCAAUCGCUAUCCCGAAACUUAUUUCGUUCUCAUCCAAAGCAACAAAACUCCGCAAUCUUGUCAAAAAAAAGGACGACAAAUUGGUUGUCCGUCUUGGUGGCAAUGAAGAACUACAAAAAUUUGAACUCUCUGGUUUGCUGGUACUGAGAAUCUGAUACGUUCAGACGAAUUAAGCUGGAAAACAAAGACAAACAUGGAAUUUAAAUACGAACGCAUAAAUGUUGACAAAUAAUUCUUCAAAACACGCUCACAAAUCGGACUGAAUAACCAAGCAUAUUUCAUGCACAUAUGCAUGACAUAUUACAAUUAUCUAACAACACUUCCAACUAAUGGAUUUCAACCUCCUCCAAAUCAUUUAUAUAAGUAAUUCAAUUUCACUUAUGAAUAAAUGGCUAUUUAUCAAAUUGAAUAUACUAAACAACCUUCGAUGUAGACAAAUUUCGUCAUCAACAAUAACAUCCAUACACCUUAUUUACCAGACCGAAAAUUUCAACUCGAAGUAUGCUGUAAUUAUUAGAACUGCCAAAAAAAUAACAAACAAAAAAAUAUUGGAAGAUCAAACCAACUACAAUUAUGGAAUGGAUCAUUCACGACCGCGUCCGUCUGAUUAGAAAAAAAAUGGAUGUUCUGUACUCAAUCUGCUGGGGCUGCAUUUUCGUUUGUUCAAAAAAAUAAAA
Episyrphus balteatus (marmalade hoverfly) is the source of this 1146-nucleotide long non-coding RNA. RefSeq lists it as uncharacterized. The transcript has 3 exons. The record is from RefSeq and is a predicted model, not a curated record. Lineage: Eukaryota; Metazoa; Arthropoda; Insecta; Diptera; Syrphidae.